RNAcentral lists this transfer RNA (73 nucleotides) under Schistocephalus solidus. It matches the Rfam family "tRNA". Rfam says of the family: Transfer RNA (tRNA) molecules are approximately 80 nucleotides in length. Their secondary structure includes four short double-helical elements and three loops (D, anti-codon, and T loops). Further hydrogen bonds mediate the characteristic L-shaped molecular structure. tRNAs have two regions of fundamental functional importance: the anti-codon, which is responsible for specific mRNA codon recognition, and the 3' end, to which the tRNAs corresponding amino acid is attached (by aminoacyl-tRNA synthetases). tRNAs cope with the degeneracy of the genetic code in two manners: having more than one tRNA (with a specific anti-codon) for a particular amino acid; and 'wobble' base-pairing, i.e. permitting non-standard base-pairing at the 3rd anti-codon position. Lineage: Eukaryota; Metazoa; Platyhelminthes; Cestoda; Diphyllobothriidea; Diphyllobothriidae. The record is from Rfam by way of RNAcentral.
GAAAUCAUGGCUCAAUGGUAAGAGCGUUUAACUUCUAAUCAACAGGUCACGGGUUCGAGUCUCGGGCGGUUCA